Molecule: ribosomal RNA, 497 nt
Filed under: uncultured bacterium
Lineage: Bacteria
Description: partial 16S ribosomal RNA
Rfam family: Bacterial small subunit ribosomal RNA
Source: RNAcentral
GAUGAACGCUGGCGGCGUGCCUAAUACAUGCAAGUCGAGCGAACGGACGAGAAGCUUGCUUCUCUGAUGUUAGCGGCGGACGGGUGAGUAACACGUGGAUAACCUACCUAUAAGACUGGGAUAACUUCGUGAAACCGGAGCUAAUACCGGAUAAUAUUUUGAACCGCAUGGUUCAAAAGUUAAAGACGGUCUUGCUGUCACUUAUAGAUGGAUCCGCGCUGCAUUAGCUAGUUGGUAAGGUAACGGCUUACCAAGGCAACGAUGCAUAGCCGACCUGAGAGGGUGAUCGGCCACACUGGAACUGAGACACGGUCCAGACUCCUACGGGAGGCAGCAGUAGGGAAUCUUCCGCAAUGGGCGAAAGCCUGACGGAGCAACGCCGCGUGAGUGAUGAAGGUCUUCGGAUAGUAAAACUCUGUUAUUAGGGAAGAACAGAUGUGUAAGUAACUGUGCACAUCUUGACGGUACCUAAUCAGAAAGCCACGGCUAACUACGUG